RNAcentral lists this transfer RNA (56 nucleotides) under Bos taurus (domestic cattle). It matches the Rfam family "tRNA", at positions 8 to 63 of the family's 71-position model. Rfam says of the family: Transfer RNA (tRNA) molecules are approximately 80 nucleotides in length. Their secondary structure includes four short double-helical elements and three loops (D, anti-codon, and T loops). Further hydrogen bonds mediate the characteristic L-shaped molecular structure. tRNAs have two regions of fundamental functional importance: the anti-codon, which is responsible for specific mRNA codon recognition, and the 3' end, to which the tRNAs corresponding amino acid is attached (by aminoacyl-tRNA synthetases). tRNAs cope with the degeneracy of the genetic code in two manners: having more than one tRNA (with a specific anti-codon) for a particular amino acid; and 'wobble' base-pairing, i.e. permitting non-standard base-pairing at the 3rd anti-codon position. The record is from Rfam by way of RNAcentral. RNAcentral also lists the same sequence under 4 other names. Lineage: Eukaryota; Metazoa; Chordata; Mammalia; Artiodactyla; Bovidae.
UGGCUCAGAUGGUAAAGCAUCUGCCUGCAAUGCAGGAGACCUGGGUUCGAUCCCGG